This 346-nucleotide small nuclear RNA is filed under the name Erinaceus europaeus (western European hedgehog). Its description in RNAcentral is "7SK RNA (ENSEEUG00000017468.1)". It matches the Rfam family "7SK RNA". From Rfam's summary of the family: 7SK was discovered as an abundant small nuclear RNA in the mid-70s but a possible function has only recently been suggested. Two independent studies have found that 7SK RNA binds the CDK9/cyclin T complex (known as elongation factor P-TEFb). Lineage: Eukaryota; Metazoa; Chordata; Mammalia; Eulipotyphla; Erinaceidae. The record is from RNAcentral.
GUAUGUGAGGGUGAUCUGGCUGUGACAUCUGUCACCUCAUUGAUCACCAGGGUUGAUUCAGCUGAUCUAGCUGGCUAGGCGGGUGUUCCCCUCCUCCCUCACCACUUCAUGUGUGUCCCUCCUGAAGCUGCAUGCUCAGUCAAAGAGGACAGCCUUCCUGAAUAGAGAUGGACCAGUCUUCGGUCUUCAGUCAAAGGUAUACGAGUAGCUGCGCUCCCCUGCUAGAACCUCCAAACAAGCUCUCAAGGUCCAUAAGUUAGAGAUAAGCAGUGCUAUGAUAUUAAGAAUAAAUAAAUAAACAAGCAAAUAAAUAACUAUGUAGAGUAUUGUGCUACAGCUUGUGUUU